This 500-nucleotide ribosomal RNA is filed under the name Neopontonides chacei. RNAcentral's name for it is "partial small subunit ribosomal RNA". The record is from RNAcentral. Lineage: Eukaryota; Metazoa; Arthropoda; Malacostraca; Decapoda; Palaemonidae.
UAAAAUUAAAGUGUAAUUUUAUUUAAAAUAGGAGGUGAAAUUUUUAAUUUUUAAUUAAAAUAUUGCUUUACUUUUUUAAUAGAGACUAUUAAAAUUUGGGUUUAAACUAGGAUUAGAUACCCUAUUAUUCCUUUUAAAAUUUUCUAACUUGAGUAGUAAUCAGUUAUAAUCUUGAAACUUAAAGGAUUUGGCGGUAUUCAAGUCUAGUUAGAGGAACCUGCUCUUUAAACGAUAUGCCACGAAGUAUCUUACUUUUAUUUGUUUUCAAUAUGUAUACCUCCAUUAUUAAGUAAUAUUUAUAAAUAAGUGCUGAAAUAUAGUUAUUUAGUAUAUUAGGUCAAGGUGCAGUUUAUAUAAAAGUUUUUGUGGGUUACUAUAUUUUAAUAUUCGGAUAAAAAAUUUAAUUCUUUUUUGAAGUUGGAUUUAAUUGUAAUUUUGUUUUAAUAAGGCAAAUUGAUAUUAGCUCUAGAAUAUGUACACAUUGCCCGUCGCUCUCAUUA